UAUUGCUUGCUUUCCAUCUCCUCCCCCAAUUUCUCUCUGUUCAACCACCGCCCCUUCAUCAAUUUCACUAUAAACCAAACCCAUUUCACCAAAAUCCAACAGAACCAAAAUUAACCCAUCGCCAUGGACACAAUCCAGCACAGAACUGUGACCGUUAAUGGCAUAAACAUGCACAUAGCCGAGAAGGGCGAAGGCCCAGUUGUGCUUCUCAUCCAUGGCUUCCCAGAGCUUUGGUAUACAUGGCGCCAUCAGAUUUUAGCCUUGAGCUCACUUGGGUACCGCGCUGUGGCGCCGGACCUUCGUGGCUAUGGCGAUUCUGAUGCCCCUGCUUCCGUUUCUAGCUACUCCAUUAUGCAUAUCGUUGGGGAUCUUGUUGCUCUUAUUGAGAGUCUUGGGGUUAAGGAGGUUUUACUUGUGGCGCAUGACUGGGGCGCUUUGAUCGCAUGGUGUUUGUGUUUAUUCCGAGCUGAGAUUGUUAAGGCUUUUGUGUGUUUAAGCGUGCCGUUUAGGCCAAGGCAUCCGGAUAUGAAGCCUGUUGAGACCAUGAGGAAGUUUUUUGGGGAUGAUUACUACAUCUGCAGAUUCCAGAAUCCAGGAGAGAUUGAAGAAGAGAUGGCCCAGGUGGGUGCCAAAGAAGUACUAAGAGGCAUACUGACAACAAGAAGACCAGGUCCUCCCAUUUUACCCAAAGGGCAAGCCUUCAGAGCCAGGCCGGGAUCCCCAUCUUCCUUGCCCUCUUGGCUUUCAGAAGAAGAUCUUUCUUACUUUGCCUCCAAAUAUGAGCAGAAGGGGUUCACUGGACCAUUGAACUAUUACAGAUCAAUGGACUUAAACUGGGAGCUCACAGCCCCAUGGACAGGGGUGCAAGUGAAAGUGCCAGUGAAAUUCAUAGUUGGAGAUGCUGACAUGGUAUAUACAACACCAGGGGUUAAGGAAUAUGUCAAUGGUGGAGGUUUCAAGAAAGAUGUGCCAUUUCUGCAAGAAGUUGUGAUAAUGGAGGGAGUUGGCCAUUUCCUCAACCAGGAGAAGCCUGAAGAGAUUAACACUCACAUCCAUGACUUCAUCAGAAGAUUCUAGUCUGAUUCAACAAAGAUUUUAGAAAGUUUUUACUCUUCCAAAAUACAUGGAUUGAUUUUUCAGCUUAUGGUGUUUGUCUGCUUCUUUUUAAGUGAUUAGUAUGUUUGAGAAUCCAGAUGGUUGUUUUCUAUGGGAGCUACUAUUUACAAUAUGCAUGCUUUGCUCCAUGAAAGUUGUUCCUAAAUAAAAGUUGAUGAAAACAUAUAUGGCG
This 1288-nucleotide unclassified non-coding RNA is filed under the name Hevea brasiliensis (rubber tree). Lineage: Eukaryota; Viridiplantae; Streptophyta; Magnoliopsida; Malpighiales; Euphorbiaceae. The record is from RNAcentral.